ACGUAGGGGGCAAGCGUUAUCCGGAUUUACUGGGUGUAAAGGGAGCGUAGACGGCAGCGCAAGUCUGAAGUGAAAGCCCGGGGCUCAACCCCGGAAUGGCUUUGGAAACUGCGCGGCUAGAGUACCGGAGGGGUAAGCGGAAUUCCUAGUGUAGCGGUGAAAUGCGUAGAUAUUAGGAGGAACACCAGUGGCGAAGGCGGCUUACUGGACGGUAACUGACGUUGAGGCUCGAAAGCGUGGGGAGCAAACAG
RNAcentral lists this ribosomal RNA (251 nucleotides) under uncultured bacterium. Its description in RNAcentral is "partial 16S ribosomal RNA". It matches the Rfam family "Bacterial small subunit ribosomal RNA", at positions 525 to 775 of the family's 1533-position model. The record is from RNAcentral.